UAAGGUAGCAAAUUUCCUUGUCGUCCAAAUAACGACCUGCAUGAAAGAUUUCACGAUUCGAUAGCUGUCUUGCAUUUAUGUGGUGGUAAAAUCUUAGGUAGUGUGAAGAUACCCUAACAACGUUAUAGGACAAAAAGACCCUAUGAACCUUUAUAGGGAUAAAAUCUUCAACAGCUUCUACGUCCAUCUUCAUUUCAUGGCCUACAACCAUACAAAACCAUUCAUUGAGAAUACAACAAAUAUGUUCACAGCUUCAACUUUUAGAUGGGCUGUUUAAUUGGGGCGAUAACCUUCUUGAAUCAAACAUUCGGUGAACAAAGCUAUUCAUAUGUGCUUUCAUAAAGCACUAGUAAGUACAAAGAUAGAUGCCAAGCUUAAUGGUCAAGCAAAGUUUGAUCCAGCUCAUAUGAGGUGUCUUCAUGACCUUAAAAUUAAUCUACCAAAUAAAAGCUACUCAAGGGAUAACAGGCUUAAUUAAAAUUAGAGCUCACAUUAAACUUAGGGUUUGGCACCUCGAUGUCGGCUUAUCUUUUCAAAAAUCUGUACUAAGCUUACUGGUGGGAGUGCUCAUCCCAUAACAAGGU
This 584-nucleotide ribosomal RNA is filed under the name Peridinium gutwinskii. RNAcentral describes it as "bacterial LSU rRNA". It matches the Rfam family "Bacterial large subunit ribosomal RNA", at positions 1952 to 2597 of the family's 2925-position model. Lineage: Eukaryota; Dinophyceae; Peridiniales; Peridiniaceae. The record is from RNAcentral.